CCAGACCUACAGCUAAGGUCCCAAAAUGUGUGUUAAGUGGAAAAGGAUGUGAGAUUUCAGAGACAACUAGGAUGUUGGCUUAGAAGCAGCCAUACAUUGAAAGAGUGCGUAAUAGCUCACUAGUCGAGAGGUCUUGCGCCGAAAAUGUCCGGGGCUAAAACACACUACCGAAGCUUAGGAAUGUAUGUAAAUACAUUGGUAGAGGAGCAUUGUUAACUGGAUGAAGCUGUACCGAAAGGAGCAGUGGACGGUUAAGAAGAGAGAAUGCCGGAAUGAGUAGCGAGAGGAAGGUGAGAAUCCUUCCGGCCGAAUAUCUAAGGUUUCCAGAGUAAAGCUGAUCUGCUCUGGGUAAGUCGGGGCCUAAGGCGAGGCUGAAAAGCGUAGUCGAUGGACAACAGGUUGAAAUUCCUGUACUACGAUAUAACAGAACUGUGGGGACGCAGAGGGAAAGCACAAGCCGGGAAUGGAAAAACCGGUUCAAGCAGAAUAGGAGUCGCAUUGGCAAAUCCGUGUGGCAAUCUGAAGCUGUAAUGAGUACCGAACUAAAGUAGGGAAGUGUGUGAGCCAGCUGCCAAGAAAAGCCGCUAUUGUUUAUAUCGUACCCGUACCGUAAACCGACACAGGUGGAUGAGGAGAGAAUCCUAAGGCCGACGGGAGAAGCAUUGUUAAGGAACUCGGCAAAAUGACUCCGUAACUUCGGGAGAAGGAGUGCCAGUUAACGCUGGCCGCAGAGAAUUGGUCCAAGCAACUGUUUAGCAAAAACACAGGUCUAUGCAAAACCGAAAGGUGAGGUAUAUGGGCUGACGCCUGCCCGGUGCUGGAAGGUUAAGGGGAGAGGUUAGACGUAAGUCGAAGCUUUGAACUUAAGCCCCAGUAAACGGCGGCCGUAACUAUAACGGUCCUAAGGUAGCGAAAUUCCUUGUCGGGUAAGUUCCGACCCGCACGAAAGGCGUAAUGAUUUGGACACUGUCUCAACAAUGCACCCGGUGAAAUUGAAAUACCAGUGAAGAUGCUGGUUACCUGCGCCAGGACGGAAAGACCCCAUGGAGCUUUACUCCAGCUUGAUACUGGGAUUCGAUAUUGCAUGUACAGGAUAGGUGGGAGACUAAGAAGAUAUGACGCCAGUUGUAUCAGAGUCACUGUUGGGAUACCACCCUUGUAGUAUUGGAUUUCUAACCAACGGCCGUGAUCCGGUCGGGGGACAAUGUCAGGUGGGGAGUUUGACUGGGGCGGUCGCCUCCGAAAGGGUAUCGGAGGCGCUCAAAGGUCCUCUCAGAAUGGUUGGAAACCAUUCGUAGAGUGCAAAGGCAUAAGAGGGCUUGACUGCGACACCGACGGGUGGAGCAGGUAGGAAACUAGGACUUAGUGAUCCGGUGGUAUAAAGUGGGAUUGCCAUCGCUCAACGGAUAAAAGCUACCCUGGGGAUAACAGGCUUAUCACUCCCAAGAGUUCACAUCGACGGAGUGGUUUGGCACCUCGAUGUCGGCUCAUCGCAUCCUGGGGCUGUAGUAGGUCCCAAGGGUUGGGCUGUUCGCCCAUUAAAGCGGUACGCGAGCUGGGUUCAGAACGUCGUGAGACAGUUCGGUCCCUAUCCGGCGUGGGCGUAGGAUAUUUGAGAGGAGCUGACCUUAGUACGAGAGGACCGGGUUGGACUGACCGCUGGUGUAUCUGUUGUUCUACCAAGAGCAUGGCAGAGUAGCCAAGUCGGGACGGGAUAAACGCUGAAGGCAUCUAAGCGUGAAGCCCCCCUCAAGAUGAGAUAUCCCAACGUAAGUUGUAAGACCCCUUGAAGACGACAAGGUAGAUAGGACAGAGGUGGAAGUGCAGUAAUGUAUGGAGCUGACUGUUACUAAUCGGUCGAGGGCAUAACCAA
This 1873-nucleotide ribosomal RNA is filed under the name Lachnospiraceae bacterium OttesenSCG-928-E19. Its description in RNAcentral is "partial 23S ribosomal RNA". It matches the Rfam family "Bacterial large subunit ribosomal RNA", at positions 1027 to 2925 of the family's 2925-position model. The record is from RNAcentral. Lineage: Bacteria; Bacillati; Bacillota; Clostridia; Lachnospirales; Lachnospiraceae.